This 252-nucleotide ribosomal RNA is filed under the name uncultured bacterium. RNAcentral's name for it is "partial 16S ribosomal RNA". It matches the Rfam family "Bacterial small subunit ribosomal RNA", at positions 524 to 775 of the family's 1533-position model. The record is from RNAcentral.
UACGUAGGGUGCUAGCGUUGUUCGGAAUCAUUGGGCGUAAAGCGCGUGUAGGCUGUUAGUUAAGUCGGGUGUGAAAUCCCUGGGCUCAACCGAGGAAGUGCAUCCGAAACUAACUGGCUAGAAGACGGUAGAGGAAGGUGGAAUUCCUAGUGUAGAGGUGAAAUUCGUAGAUAUUAGGAGGAAUACCGGUGGCGAAGGCGGCCUUCUGGACCGAUCUUGACGCUGAGACGCGAAAGCGUGGGGAGCAAACAG